RNAcentral lists this ribosomal RNA (373 nucleotides) under uncultured organism. RNAcentral's name for it is "partial 16S ribosomal RNA". It matches the Rfam family "Bacterial small subunit ribosomal RNA", at positions 527 to 896 of the family's 1533-position model. The record is from RNAcentral.
GUAGGUGGCAAGCGUUGUCCGGAAUUAUUGGGCGUAAAGCGCGCGCAGGUGGUUCUUUAAGUCUGAUGUGAAAGCCCCCGGCUCAACCGGGGAGGGUCAUUGGCAACUGGGGAACUUGAGUGCAGGAGAGGAAAGUGGAAUUCCACGUGUAGCGGUGAAAUGCGUAGAUAUGUGGAGGAACACCAGUGGCGAAGGCGACUUUCUGGCCUGUAACUGACACUGAGGCGCGAAAGCGUGGGGAGCAAACAGGGAUUAGAUACCCUGGUAGUCCACGCCGUAAACGAUGAGUGCUAAGUGUUGGGGGGGUUUCCGCCCCCUCAGUGCUGCAGCUAACGCAUUAAGCACUCCGCCUGGGAGUACGGUCGCAAGACUG